AGGCAAAUCCGCUUUGAUAAUGCUGGGAUGUGAUGGGGAGCGAAAUUUAGUAGCGAAGUAGCUGAUUUCACACUGUCAAGAAAAGUCUCUAUCGAGGUUAAAGGUACCCGUACCGCAAACCGACACAGGUGGGUGAGGAGAGUAUCCUAAGGCCAGCGAGAGAACUGUUGUUAAGGAACUCGGCAAAAUGACCCCGUAACUUAGGGAUAAGGGGUGCCACCAUCAGGUGGCCGCAGAGAAUAGGCCCAAGCGACUGUUUACCAAAAACAUAGGUUUCUGCUAAGUCGCAAGACGAUGUAUAGGAGCUGACGCCUGCCCGGUGCUGGAAGGUUAAGGGGAUCUGUUAGAGCAAUCGAAGCAGUGAACUUAAGCCCCAGUAAACGGCGGCCGUAACUAUAACGGUCCUAAGGUAGCGAAAUUCCUUGUCGGGUAAGUUCCGACCCGCACGAAAGGCGUAACGAUUUGGGCACUGUCUCAACAACAGACUCGGUGAAAUUGUAAUUCCGGUGAAGAUGCCGGAUACCUGCGACAGGACGGAAAGACCCCAUGGAGCUUUACUGUAGCUUGACAUUGGGUCUUGGUACUACAUGUACAGGAUAGGUGGGAGGCUUUGAAACCAGGACGCCAGUUUUGGCGGAGCCAUCCUUGGGAUACCACCCUUGUAGUACUGGGACUCUAACCAUAGGCCAUGAAUCUGGUCUUGGGACACUGUCAGGUGGGCAGUUUGACUGGGGCGGUCGCCUCCCAAAAGGUAACGGAGGCGCUCAAAGGUUCUCUCAGUACGGUCGGAAAUCGUACGUAGAGUGUAAAGGCAAAAGAGAGCUUGAUUGCAAGACAUACAGGUCGAGCAAGGAUGAAAAUCGGACUUAGUGAUCCGGUGGUUCUGCGUGGAAGGGCCAUCGCUCAACGGAUAAAAGCUACCCUGGGGAUAACAGGCUUAUCUCCCCCAAGAGUCCACAUCGACGGGGAGGUUUGGCACCUCGAUGUCGGCUCAUCACAUCCUGGGGCUGUAGUAGGUCCCAAGGGUUGGGCUGUUCGCCCAUUAAAGUGGUACGCGAGCUGGGUUCAGAACGUCGUGAGACAGUUCGGUCCCUAUCCGUCGCAGGCGUAGGAAAUUUGAGAAGACCUGUCCUUAGUACGAGAGGACCGGGAUGGACGUACCUCUGGUGUACCAGUUGU
RNAcentral lists this ribosomal RNA (1179 nucleotides) under Clostridioides difficile. Its description in RNAcentral is "partial 23S ribosomal RNA". It matches the Rfam family "Bacterial large subunit ribosomal RNA", at positions 1534 to 2724 of the family's 2925-position model. Lineage: Bacteria; Bacillati; Bacillota; Clostridia; Peptostreptococcales; Peptostreptococcaceae. The record is from RNAcentral.